AUCGCAUCCUGGGGCGGUAGUACGUCCCAAGGGUUGGGCUGUUCGCCCAUGAAAGCGGUACGCGAGCUGGGUUCAGAACGUCGUGAGACAGUUCGGUCCAUAUCCGGUGUAGGCGUUAGAAUAUUGAGAGGAGCCUUCUUUAGUACGAGAGGACCGAGAAGGACAUACCUCUGGUGUACCAGUUAUCGUGCCAACGGUAAACGCUGGGUAGCUAUGUAUGGAGUGGAUAACCGCUGAAAGCAUCUAAGCGGGAAGCCUCCUUCGAGACGAGAUCUCCCUUAGGACUUGAUCCUACUAAAGUGCCGUUCAAGACUAGGACGUUGAUAGGCUGGGUGUGUAAGUGCAGCGAUGCAUUGAGCUAACCAGUACUAAUUGCACGUGAGGCUUGA
RNAcentral lists this ribosomal RNA (389 nucleotides) under Ditylum brightwellii. RNAcentral's name for it is "partial Bacterial large subunit ribosomal RNA". It matches the Rfam family "Bacterial large subunit ribosomal RNA", at positions 2539 to 2925 of the family's 2925-position model. Lineage: Eukaryota; Bacillariophyta; Thalassiosirophyceae; Lithodesmiales; Lithodesmiaceae. The record is from RNAcentral.